CCUACGGGGUGCAGCAGUGAGGAAUAUUGGUCAAUGGACGGAAGUCUGAACCAGCCAUGCCGCGUGCAGGAAGACGGCUCUAUGAGUUGUAAACUGCUUUUGUACAAGGGUAAACCUGAAUACGUGUAUUCAGCUGAAAGUACUGUACGAAUAAGGAUCGGCUAACUCCGUGCCAGCAGCCGCGGUAAUACGGAGGAUCCAAGCGUUAUCCGGAUUUAUUGGGUUUAAAGGGUGCGUAGGCGGAUUGAUAAGUUAGAGGUGAAAUGUCCGAGCUUAACUCUGGAACUGCCUCUAAUACUGUUGAGCUAGAGAGUAGGUGCGGUAGGCGGAAUGUAUGGUGUAGCGGUGAAAUGCUUAGAGAUCAGACAGAACACCGAUUGCGAAGGCAGCUUACCAAUCUAUAUCUGACGUUGAAGCACGAAGGCGUGGGGAGCAAACAGGAUUAGAUACCCGUGUAGUC
RNAcentral lists this ribosomal RNA (460 nucleotides) under uncultured bacterium. RNAcentral describes it as "partial 16S ribosomal RNA". It matches the Rfam family "Bacterial small subunit ribosomal RNA", at positions 338 to 795 of the family's 1533-position model. The record is from RNAcentral.